This is a non-coding RNA of Sorex fumeus (smoky shrew), 387 nucleotides long. Lineage: Eukaryota; Metazoa; Chordata; Mammalia; Eulipotyphla; Soricidae. The record is from the annotation of a RefSeq genome assembly.
AUGACCUGGGCUCUUUUCCUCUUCAUCCUCCUCAGUCAGGGCCCAGAAACCUGGGCCCAGAAUGUCCUGACUCAGCCUCUCUCAGUGUCUGGGACUCAGGAACAGACAGUCACCAUCUCCUGUACAGGAACCAGCAAUGACGUUGGGGGAUAUGAUCUUGUCUCCUGGUACCAGCAGCAGGAGGGCAAGUCCCACAAAUUGCUGAUUUAUGAUGUCAAAAAUCGGCCAUCAGGGAUCCCUGAUCGUUUCUCUGGCUCCAUGUCUGGCAACAUAGCGACCCUGACCAUCUCUGGGCUCAAGCCUGAGGAUGAGGCUGAUUACUACUGUUGCUCCUUAAGCAGUGUUAGCACUCUCACAGUGGUUCACGCUCAUAGGGAAGUGAGAUAA